RNAcentral lists this ribosomal RNA (407 nucleotides) under uncultured bacterium. RNAcentral's name for it is "partial 16S ribosomal RNA". It matches the Rfam family "Bacterial small subunit ribosomal RNA", at positions 28 to 526 of the family's 1533-position model. The record is from RNAcentral.
GACGAACGCUGGCGGCGCGCUUAACACAUGCAAGUCGAGCGAAGCGGCGGACGGGUGAGUAACACGUGAGUAACCUGCCUUAGACAUUGGGAUAGCCUCGGGAAACCGGGAUUAAUACCAAAUGGUCUAAGAUGGACUCGCGUCCCAUUAGCUAGGUGGUGAGGUAACGGCCCACCAAGGCGACGAUGAGUCGCCGGCCUGAGAGGGUGACCGGGCACGUUGGAACUGAGAAUCGGGCCAAACUCGUCGGGAUGGAGCAGUGGGGAAUAUUUCACAAUGGAGGGAACUCUGCUGCGGCGACGCUGCGUGAACGAAGAAGGCUUUCGAGUCGUAAAGUUCUUUUGUAUGGGAAGCGGUACCAUAAGAAAAAGCCCCGGCUAACUACGUGCCAGCAGCCGCGGUAAUAC